RNAcentral lists this ribosomal RNA (256 nucleotides) under uncultured bacterium. RNAcentral's name for it is "partial 16S ribosomal RNA". It matches the Rfam family "Bacterial small subunit ribosomal RNA", at positions 15 to 263 of the family's 1533-position model. The record is from RNAcentral.
GAUCCUGGCUCAGGACGAACGCUGGCGGCGUGCCUAACACAUGCAAGUCGAGCGGAGACAGUGAGUAGCUUGCUAUGAGCUGUUUUAGCGGCGGACGGGUGAGUAACGCGUGAGCAACCUUUCCCAGACAGGGGAAUAACACACCGAAAGGUGUACUAAUACCGCAUAAGACCACGGGAUCACAUGGUUCUGAGGUAAAAGAAUUAUCGGUUUGGGGUGGGCUCGCGUCCGAUUAGGUAGUUGGUGAGGUAACCGG